GCCUACCAGGGGCUUAGUGGAGACCG
Molecule: non-coding RNA, 26 nt
Filed under: Cricetulus griseus (Chinese hamster)
Lineage: Eukaryota; Metazoa; Chordata; Mammalia; Rodentia; Cricetidae
Source: RNAcentral